AAAAGAGAUUAAAAAAUCACAAAAGAGAAAAUGUUUCAACAAAAUAGAAUAGUGUAUUGUAGUAUUUACAAUAUACUAUCUUUAUAUAUAAAAAAGGACAAAUUUCUAAAAUAGCACAUUUCUAAAGUUUAUAUCACAAAAAUAGCACUCAAAAACUAAAAUGACCAAAAUAGCAUUUUAUCUUUUGAAAAAUUUAAAUUUUUUUAUUUUUCAAAAUUUGAAAUCUUAUCCCCAAAACUUCAAUUCUCAACUCUAAACCCUAAACUCUAAACUCUAAACCCUAAACCCUAAACCCUAAACUCUACUCCUUGAGUGCUAUUUUUGUGACUUUUGGCCUUGAAUGCUAGUUUGGGAACAAAAACUUGAUUUAGUGCUAUUUUGAUCUUUUUCUCUAUAAAAAAAAGACUUUCGAUCACUACGACGGGUCCAGUUCGAAUGACACGUCAUCAAUUCGGUCAUCAUCAGCGCGACAUGUGUCCCAUCUUUUUUAAACACUGCGUUUCAUUAAACAUUUUGUGGGCUAUGUUAUGUGGGCUUUUUGUUCAACUCAUCUAUUUGUCCAAAAGCGAGAAACUUUAUAAGGUUCAUACUCCUUUUUGAUCUUAGAUGACUACGAUGUUCUUAUACGUUCUCUCGAACCAACAACGGAGUUUUGACAGAUUCAGUGUCUAAAAUCGGCGUAAAUAAUCUCUUCGUGUGUCUUCAAUCGCGUCGUUUAGUCUUUUAUUCUAAUCAACCGAAACAGUGAGAAAGCCGAAAAGAAAGCUGCAAAACGUUACCGAAUGAUGAUGAACCCAAGCGUCGUAUUAAACGAAUCUUUGACUAUAAUAAGGUACUUCAUUUCCUGUGAAAAUCAUCUUAUCCUAUCCUCUCAAGCAUAAGCCAUUGUAACUCCUUUGUCGAGGUACGUCUUUCUCUUGCGACGAUCAUUGAAUCCCAUCACAACCUCCAUCUUGGACAAGCUAUUCUCUGUUUGGGAGACGCUACAUGCCGUUGUCUAGGUUUCCCUUUCCUAAACAAAUCCAGGUUCGAUAUUUCUUCAUGUUUCUUUCAAAUCCGUACGAGCUUGAAGAUUGGCUAUAAGAAGGAAGCAAAUUAUGGGGGGAUUUUUUCAAAUCCCAUUUCAUGAAGAAGAGGUCUCGAGGAUGUAGAAUCAGUGAGCUCAACGGUUUUGCAUGCUAAGAAGUUAGCUCAACAAAUGGAGAAUAUACACAUAAGGAUAGUUCUCUGGUCAAGUUUGUCUCUUCUUUUUCAAAUGAAGAGGUUCAGUUCGCUUGCUCAAUUCAAAACUAUAUUAUGCGUCUAGGUGUUCACAUGUCUACUGGCUAUUGGAAGAGCUGUUUUGUGUGUUUACAAAGGACUCUGCUGCUAGAGACGAUGUUUUGUAUAUGAAGAGUAAUGAGGUUGAGUGCACUGGGUUGGAGAAGGAGAUGAUGAGGAGAAAGCUUAAAGCUUGGAAGAAAAUGGAAGUACCUGAGAAAUGUAUCUUGGAAGUUUUGCAGGAGGGUUUGGAGAAGCUAUUGGUGCCGUAUGAGAAACCUAAUUUUGAUAGUGAAGAGCUUAUGAGUAGUAUAUAUAACGUCGAGGUUCCGGUGAAGAAGUUGGAACUCUGUUGAAUCUAUGGACUUUGAUGAUAAGAUCUAUGAAAUCAAAGCAAUGGAUCAACAAGCCCGAAAUAGAAGCUGGUUAAGCAGGAGUACUUUUGGGAAGCUGUUUCUGAACAGACAAGAAAUAUCUAGAUCUCGGAUAAUAUGCCUAUGGAAAGAUCAAGCUGCAAGGAAUUCAUAGAAUGAUACCGUGUUCAAAUCAGAGGUAAAAUCCAUCCAGAAAUCUAUUCGAAAGUUGAUGAAAAGUUUUAUGUUUCUCUGGUCCAAAAACCUGCAGUUUUGCCUUUUAACUACUUUGGAUGUGGUUUCCCGCAAGAUAUAAGGAAAUUAUAUCACGAUAAAGUUAUAUAUGGAAAGAUCCCAUUGCAGAGAGUUCAUUGGAUCAAUUGAAUUAUGAAUAGACGUUAUAAACAAUUCGUACAUCACCUUCAAAGUUGGGCCAAAAUCAUCUGAAUCUGCAGAAAUAGAGAAAACUGUUUUGUAACAACAUUUUUAAGAAGAAACUCUCUCCAAGAGGGUGGCGCUAUCAUAGUUUAAAUCAUUAUGCUUACCUUGACAUUUCUUGGUCUCGGGAAGUCACAAUUCUGCAUCCUUUGUAAUGUUUUUAAGUUUUCAAAGUUUCUUCAUGAAGAUCAUUGUUUACACGUGAGUAUAAACUUUGGAAUAUUCUUUGUGAUUUUUUAGAUGGAUUUUGGUCUGUUACAUUCAUCUUGAGCGGAACAUUUCUUUUGCUACAGAACGGUAAACACACUCUCCUUAUAAAGAAAAUACUUUUUCAUGGUCUUAUUGAAAAUUUGAUAUAACAGAUGGUUUGUAUGUGAGGUGACAAAGGAGGAAGAAGAAUGUGUUGCAGUGAAGAAGAAGAAUGUGUUUCAGGUGAAGAAGAAGAGAGAGAAGCAUAGAAGUAGUGUGUGUUGAUGAUUCUCUACCUGGAAACUUUUUUUAGUUGUAAGCAGUUUUCAGAUGAAGUCAUUGUAUUAUUGUUUACAUUUCACUUUACAGCCAAAAUAAGUUUCAACAACAUAGUUUACCAAACUUAAAACUUAGGUGAACAAUAUAGUUUUUUCAAGAUUACGAUCAUUUGGAUGUUUUAGUUUUUUUUUUAAGAUUAUAAUUCUUUUGGAUG
Brassica rapa (field mustard) is the source of this 2733-nucleotide long non-coding RNA. RefSeq lists it as uncharacterized. The record is from RefSeq and is a predicted model, not a curated record. Lineage: Eukaryota; Viridiplantae; Streptophyta; Magnoliopsida; Brassicales; Brassicaceae.